This 235-nucleotide ribosomal RNA is filed under the name uncultured bacterium. RNAcentral describes it as "partial 16S ribosomal RNA". It matches the Rfam family "Bacterial small subunit ribosomal RNA", at positions 118 to 347 of the family's 1533-position model. The record is from RNAcentral.
UGAGGAACAUGACCUUCGGCGGGGGAUAGCCGGCCCAACGGCCGGGUAAUACCGCGUACGACCACAUGGGGACAUCCCCGAGUGGUGAAAGCAGCAAUGCGCCGAUGGAGUGCCUCGCGGCCUAUCAGCUAGUUGGUGAGGUAACGGCUCACCAAGGCAACGACGGGUAGCUGGUCUGAGAGGACGACCAGCCACACUGGAACUGAGAUACGGUCCAGACUCCGUACGGGAGCAG